This 253-nucleotide ribosomal RNA is filed under the name uncultured bacterium. RNAcentral's name for it is "partial 16S ribosomal RNA". It matches the Rfam family "Bacterial small subunit ribosomal RNA", at positions 524 to 776 of the family's 1533-position model. The record is from RNAcentral.
UACGUAGGUGGCAAGCGUUGUCCGGAUUUACUGGGCGUAAAGAGCGCGCAGGCGGCCGAGUAAGUCGAAUGUGAAAGCCCCCGGCUCAACUGGGGAAGGUCAUUCGAUACUGUUCGGCUUGAAGAUAGGAGAGGGAAGCGGAAUUUCAGGUGUAGUGGUGAAAUGCGUAGAUAUCUGAAGGAACACCAGUGGUGAAGGCGGCUUUCUGGCCUAUUCUUGACGCUGAGGCGCGAAAGCUAGGGGAGCGAACGGG